Molecule: ribosomal RNA, 484 nt
Filed under: uncultured bacterium
Lineage: Bacteria
Description: partial 16S ribosomal RNA
Rfam family: Bacterial small subunit ribosomal RNA
Source: RNAcentral
AUUGAACGCUGGCGGCAGGCCUAACACAUGCCAGUCGAGCGGAUGAAGGGAGCUUGCUCCUGGAUGCAGCGGCGGACGGGUGAGUAAUGCCUAGGAAUCUGCCUGGUAGUGGGGGAUAACGUCCGGAAACGGGCGCUAAUACCGCAUACGUCCUGAGGGAGAAAGUGGGGGAUCUUCGGACCUCACGCUAUCAGAUGAGCCUAGGUCGGAUUAGCUAGUUGGUGGGGUAAAGGCCUACCAAGGCGACGAUCCGUAACUGGUCUGAGAGGAUGAUCAGUCACACUGGAACUGAGACACGGUCCAGACUCCUACGGGAGGCAGCAGUGGGGAAUAUUGGACAAUGGGCGAAAGCCUGAUCCAGCCAUGCCGCGUGUGUGAAGAAGGUCUUCGGAUUGUAAAGCACUUUAAGUUGGGAGGAAGGGCAGUAAGUUAAUACCUUGCUGUUUUGACGUUACCAACAGAAUAAGCACCGGCUAACUUCGUG